AGUGAACGCUGGCGGUAGGCCUAACACAUGCAAGUCGAACGACAGCACAGUAAGAGCUUGCUCUUACGGGUGGCGAGUGGCGGACGGGUGAGGAAUACAUCGGAAUCUACUUUUUCGUGGGGGAUAACGUAGGGAAACUUACGCUAAUACCGCAUACGACCUACGGGUGAAAGCAGGGGAUCUUCGGACCUUGCGCGAUUGAAUGAGCCGAUGUCGGAUUAGCUAGUUGGCGGGGUAAAGGCCCACCAAGGCGACGAUCCGUAGCUGGUCUGAGAGGAUGAUCAGCCACACUGGAACUGAGACACGGUCCAGACUCCUACGGGAGGCAGCGGUGGGGAAUAUUGGACAAUGGGCGCAAGCCUGAUCCAGCCAUACCGCGUGGGUGAAGAAGGCCUUCGGGUUGUAAAGCCCUUUUGUUGGGAAAGAAAAGCAGCAGGUUAAUACCCCGCUGUUCUGACGGUACCCAAAGAAUAAGCACCGGCUAACUUCGUG
RNAcentral lists this ribosomal RNA (492 nucleotides) under uncultured bacterium. RNAcentral describes it as "partial 16S ribosomal RNA". It matches the Rfam family "Bacterial small subunit ribosomal RNA", at positions 29 to 507 of the family's 1533-position model. The record is from RNAcentral.